AAGUAAAAGGCAAAACACGCGAAAGCGUGUGACGCAAAGCCAUGAAUCUACGGCCGAUAGGCCAUGAUUGUCAGGUUGC
RNAcentral lists this non-coding RNA (79 nucleotides) under human gut metagenome. RNAcentral describes it as "Cyclic di-GMP-I riboswitch". It matches the Rfam family "c-di-GMP-I riboswitch aptamer". Rfam says of the family: GEMM was predicted in a large-scale screen for bacterial structured RNA regulatory elements. Genes associated with GEMM are involved in a diverse array of functions, including chemotaxis regulation, signal transduction, secretion and chitin. The record is from RNAcentral.